UCAGACGAUGCGUCAUGCAUAUCAAUAAGCGGAGGAAAAGAAACUAACAAGGAUUCCCUUAGUAACGGCGAGUGAAGCGGGAAGAGCUCAAAUUUGAAAUCUUGAAAGGUCACCUUUCACGAAUUGUAGUUUAAAGAAGUGUUUUCUGCUGAAGUUUUGGUAAAAGUUCUUUGGAAUAGGACAUCAUAGAGGGUGAGAAUCCCGUAUUUGACCUUUACUUUCAACUUUGUGAUACACUUUCAAAGAGUCGGAUUGUUUGGGAAUGCAGUCCAAAAUGGGUGGUAAAUUUCAUCUAAAGCUAAAUAUUGGCGAGAGACCGAUAGCGAACAAGUACCGUGAGGGAAAGAUGAAAAGAACUUUGAAAAGAGUGUUAAAUAGUACGUGGAAUUGUCAAAAGGGAAGCGUUUAACACCAGUGUUGUUUUCUGAAAAUCAACCUCUGUUAGCUUUAUGCAUGUUUGUUUAGACCUAAUCAGCUAUCUUGCAUGUUCUAUUGUUUGCAGUGGUGCACUUUUCAGUUUACAGGUCAACAUCAGUUUUUUUUACCGUAAAAAAGUUAAAGAAAGGUAGCUCAUGGCUCCGGUCGUGAGUGUUAUAGUCUUUUUCCUAUGCGGUAGGAGAGACUGAGGUCUGCAGUGUAGGCUAUUUGGCUAGAUACUCAGGUGCUAUGUGAUACCAUUUCAUAAACAACUUGUUGAUUAUGUUUUGUCUAUUGCAUACUCGCUUGUACUAUCAUACCUACGCUUAGGAUGUUGACUGAUAUGUAGUCGUA
This 771-nucleotide ribosomal RNA is filed under the name uncultured Neocallimastigales. Its description in RNAcentral is "partial large subunit ribosomal RNA". It matches the Rfam family "Eukaryotic large subunit ribosomal RNA", at positions 18 to 644 of the family's 3401-position model. The record is from RNAcentral. Lineage: Eukaryota; Fungi; Neocallimastigomycota; Neocallimastigomycetes; Neocallimastigales.